Molecule: ribosomal RNA, 274 nt
Filed under: uncultured bacterium
Lineage: Bacteria
Description: partial 16S ribosomal RNA
Rfam family: Bacterial small subunit ribosomal RNA
Source: RNAcentral
AUACGGAGGGGGUUAGCGUUGUUCGGAAUUACUGGGCGUAAAGCGUACGUAGGCGGAUCAGAAAGUAAGGGGUGAAAUCCCAGGGCUCAACCCUGGAACUGCCUCUUAAACUCCUGGUCUUGAGUUCGAGAGAGGUGAGUGGAAUUCCAAGUGUAGAGGUGAAAUUCGUAGAUAUUUGGAGGAACACCAGUGGCGAAGGCGGCUCGCUGGCUCGAUACUGACGCUGAGGUACGAAAGUGUGGGGAGCAAACAGGAUUAGAAACCCUAGUAGUCC